Molecule: ribosomal RNA, 324 nt
Filed under: Triticum aestivum (bread wheat)
Lineage: Eukaryota; Viridiplantae; Streptophyta; Magnoliopsida; Poales; Poaceae
Description: partial small subunit ribosomal RNA
Source: RNAcentral
AUGGCUUGCUUCCCAACCACAUGUGCUCCCCACGGUGAGGAACGGACAUGCUCAACGCCUUCCUUCCCAACCAGAUAUGAGAAAGAAGAAAUAGGACCAAGAAAAUUAGUUGCUCAUAUAUUCAUCUGUCUUGCGGAGAAGAACCCGAAUGGAGAACUUGGUAUGCCGAGUAAUGUGCAGGUUGCUUUUGUCCUCUCACCUGCUCUUUGGUCUUCGUCUAUUGCUCUGCUGGCUCGUCAUCUCCUUGGUUGGAGGAAUUAUUUCAUUGUUGGAAGCUUUCAUCUGCAUAUAUGCCUUCAUCAACACCUUACAUUUGCUUGGUAG